Macaca mulatta (Rhesus monkey) is the source of this 3168-nucleotide non-coding RNA. NCBI's taxonomy places the organism in Eukaryota, Metazoa, Chordata, Mammalia, Primates, Cercopithecidae. The record is from RefSeq and is a predicted model, not a curated record.
GCACAAUGGAAUACUAUUAGCCUUAGUAAGAAAGAAAUCCUGUUAUUUGCAGCAACAUUUAUGAAGCUGGAAGGCAUUAUGUUAAGUAAACCAGACUCAUAAAGACAAAAACUGCAGGAUCUCAUUUAUAUGUGGACUGUGAAAAAGUCAAACUCAUAGAAACAGAAUAGAAUGAUGGUUACCAGAGGCUGUGGGGUGGGGAACUGGAAAGAUGUUGGCCAAAAGUCACAAAAUUUCAGUGAGAUAGUACAAAUAAGUUCAAGAGAUCUACUGUACGUCAUGGUUACUUCUAUUAAUCACAACAUAUUUUAUAUAGAAAUUGCUAAGAGAGUAGAUUUUAACUAUUCUCAUCACAAAAAAAUAAGUGUAGGUGUUCAUGCAUGUGUUAAAUACCUUGAUUUACCUAUCUUACAAUAUAUACAUCUAUCAAAACAUCAUGUUGUAUACAUCACUAUAUGCUAUUUUUAUUUUUCAAUUAAAAAAUAAAGAAAAUAAAGCAGAGGCAUAAUAUGAUCAUGUCCACUUCUUAGGAUUGCAAUAAUAUCAAUGGAAAACAAACUAGGAUUGUUGAUUCUCUAGGCUUUGGGACUGGUACCAAGGAUAAGAGAAGGGAAUAAGGGCAGACAUAUGAAGAAACCACAGGUGAUAAGAAACUGUGAGAUUCAUAUUGAGUACUAAGUGGGGAUGUACUGGCAGAGAAUGAUAGCUGAAUGAAUACUAGGGAAUAAAUGGUGUCAGCUAAUACUCCUCCCACCCCAAACACUGGUGACACAGAUAUUCUCUUUCUUGUUCUCUCCCCUGAAACUGGUGCUACUUGGAAAAGGCUUUCAUUCCAGCUUGUCUGCCCUGGAACUCUUUGUUCUCUGGUUUCCGUGGUUGCAGAAUCUAGCAAAUUGAACACAGUCCCUACAGAGCACUGAAUUGUGAAUGUUAAAAUUUACGAUGGAGCAAUUUGGUCGUGCCCUGUUCCAGAAGAAAUGGAGACAUUUAAUUUUUCACGUGCUUCAGUGGCAGCCACUUGUUAUGACUUCAGAUCAAAAGGUGGUGCAAAGUUAGUUUUAAAUUAUUUUAACAUGUGCAAUUGGAACACUGAGAUGAUUUAUGAAAACAAAUGAUCUGAGUUGGCACUAAGGGGUUUUGAGACUCAUUUUUCAGCCAUUUAUUUUUAAUCUCUCUGAAUAUCUUCAGCUCUGCUGAUACCAACACUCACUUCUGAAGCCAACAAGCCGUCUGCUUAUAAAUACUGAAUCAACUGAACAAAUGGUCUUCAGUUUUUUCAUGAAACCCAUCUAAAUUUCAUUGUGUAAGAAGAGAAAGAAGACAAGUGGGACAACCAUACAGAAAGGUUCUGAAAGAUGCUGGUGACUUCAGUGAAGAUAGCAUUGCUGCAUAAUGUCCACAAAUCAUAGAUAAUAAAAAUAUAACCAAGAACAUGACAUAUGUAUUUAUUACUUGUAUUUUUAUAUUUAAUUUUAAAUAGUCUUCAGUAACAUGCCUGGGACAAAGCCAUGGGGAUUUAUUUUUCAUGUCCUUCACAUCCACUUCUACUUCUUCUGAGUGACUUCUUCAUUGACAGUGGGUGGAAUGGACCAAAUAUGGACCAUAUUUCUUUUUCAUAUUAAAUAUUUUUCCCCAGACAUCUGCUUCAUUGCCACUCCAUUACUAUAGGACAAUUUUCUUUGCUUCCCAUUCUCACAAUAGAAAAUAUGGCCACUAUAAGCUUCCAAGUUCAUGUAUUACUUGUCCAGCCAUCCAGAAAGAUUGAAUCAACUCUUGGUUCCAAUCCCACAUUUGCAAAAAUAUAUAUGUCUGCCUCUGGACUAAUAAACUGCUUUGUAAGUAGGGCUCAUGCUGCACAGAUAUGUUGGGCCCGCUCAAAUCAUUUAAGAGUAUGUGUGUGUUGUGGGGAGGAGAGGUGAUCCCUUAAAAAAAGAAGUGGUUCCCCCCAAAUUGGUAUCUACCGCUUCCUUUUUGGCCUAGUAGGGCCUAAUAUUAACAUCUAUUUUUAAAAGGCAUCAAGAUUGUCUUUAAAAAGUUUCACAUGCCAUCUACUCUUCAUUAAAAAUAUUCAUGAUAGAGAGUGAGGCUGAGCUACCUAGUAACCACUGUUUAGGAUUUAAAAUAUUGUUCUUAUGUUUUUCAUGUAAGCUUGUUGUCACUCAGAGAGUAUUUCCAGAACUGUGUAAAGACAGGAUAUGAUAAAACAGAUAACGUGUACUAGAUUGGUGGAAAAACUCAGUUAAGAGCAUGGCAAAUAAUCUUUAAUCUCUUCUUUUCUACAGAGCUCAAUAACUAUCGACUUUCCCUCUCAGUUGAUUGGAAAGGGCCCUCUCUGUGGUGAACUGAGUAUAGCCAGGGUGUGUACCUCAUGCCUUCUGAAUGGCAGCUCCAUCACUAAAGCAUCCCAGUUGCACAGUAACCAAUUCCAGGGGACCUCAAAUACUUUAUAAAGUUUGUAGCAAGAAGAGUUUCUUGAGAUUUCUAGGCAUUGUCAAAAUACUAACGAUUAGUCAUUUAAGACUGGUAUAUUUUUUAGGUAGCUAUUGACCACUCUGUGGGUAGUAUUGUGGAUAGUACUGUGGUACUAUGGUCACAUUCGUUCUCUCUUUCUCUCAUUUGUACAGUUCCUGCUUUAGACUCUGUACAUGGUCAUGACUGUGCAAUCCAUUGUAAAUACUCAAUACAUAUUUACUAAGUGAAAAAAUAUGUGUGUCUGCAAUGACAGGGAACAUACUUCCAUCUUUUUAUAUUCCCUGAAUUUCUUAGCUUCAUGCACUGCUUAUAAGAGAUGCUUAGUUAAUGUGUGUAGAUGAAGAAAAAAAAGAAUGAAAUUCGACACAUUCCAAAGUGCUUAGAUGGUUUAUUUGGUAAAACAAAAACAAAAACAAACAAAACAAAACAAAAAUAGCCAUUCCUCAAAGACUCAGAACUAACCAUAACAACUUAGGCUCCAUCAGUCUGAAUGAGUUAAUGCACAUGAGAGUACUAGGUAAGCUUUAAAGUGGUAUUAUUGUUGUUGCAAAAGACAACUCCAGGCUCACCCAACUAAAAUAGCUUACAACUGUAGAGCCCUUUACCAAUUACAAAGUACUUUUUUUUGAGACACAAUCCCCCUCUGUUGGGGUACAGUGCAGUGGCUGGUUCAUGGCUCACUGCAGCCUCAGUCUC